UACGUACUCCCUCCGUUCUAAAAUUCUUGUCUUCGCUUUAUCUGAAUAUGAAUGUAUCUAGGCAUGUGUUAGUAUUUAGAUACAUCUAUUUAAAAAAAAAAAAACGUAAGACAAGAAUUUUAGGAUGGAGAGAGUAUUUU
This 140-nucleotide microRNA precursor is filed under the name Hordeum vulgare. RNAcentral's name for it is "microRNA MIR1122". It matches the Rfam family "MIR1120/MIR1122 microRNA precursor family". The record is from RNAcentral. Lineage: Eukaryota; Viridiplantae; Streptophyta; Magnoliopsida; Poales; Poaceae.